This is a long non-coding RNA of Thamnophis elegans (Western terrestrial garter snake), 1035 nucleotides long. RefSeq lists it as uncharacterized. The transcript is spliced from 2 exons. NCBI's taxonomy places the organism in Eukaryota, Metazoa, Chordata, Lepidosauria, Squamata, Natricidae. The record is from RefSeq and is a predicted model, not a curated record.
CCGAAAAAUCAUAAACCUUCUCUUUCCCGUUUCGCCCUCUGCACGCUCUCAGAGGCGGCGCUUUCUAAGUCCCAUUUAUAGAUUCCUUAAAUUGCAAUAGGCGCUCCUGCCCUUCGAGGCCCCUGGGCACUUUGCCUACGCUCAGAGGCUAGCUUGUCUGGGUGGUCUCGCCCCCGCUGAGCUUCCCCCGUCCGCUGUCUCCCAUUUUCCUCCGCUCCGCAGGAUCGGAUGCGGCGGAAGAGCCGCUCCAGGAGCAGUGCGAAGGGUGGAGAAAGUCUGGCGUCGGGGACGGAGAAGGCAGGCGGGCGGGCUGCAGCUGGGGGAGGCCAGAGAGCAUCGGUUCGGGCGCCGAAUUCUGCCGCCCCCUUUUUCCUGUUGGGGAAGUUGGGGGGUCCCACUUGGGACAAGAGGUGGUUAAGGCAGGGAGGACAAGGAUGGGGAUGAGUUGGGCCAGAAGUCAGAAUAGAAGAAUGGCACCAUCAACGCCCAGCCCGACUGCCACUUAUCCUGCGUCACUAAGAGAGGCCCCCGCAGACCAACAGCAGUAAUUCACCACUUCACUGACAACCAUAUCAGCAAAAAAGCAGUGGCAGCUCAUCCAAUGCUACCAUCUCAGAACUCAAGAGUGGAAUCGGUUGCUAACAGGCAGGGAGUGUCGUGCUCCAGCAUAUAACUUUUUAUAUAUACGGCCGUUCCCCUUCAUGGAUUACUGCCUUGUCAUGGCAAUGGGGCUUGUGUAGCUCAAUGAAGCUACGAGCUGUGCCAUGCUGGGCCACCCAAGACGGACAGGUCGUAGCAGAGAGCUCUGACAGGUUCCUUGCAUGGAAGAAGAGAAAAGGAUAACCAUAGGUCGGCUUGACUGUUUUAGUGAGUCUUUCUGUCACAUCUUUACCUUCACACCCAGGAGACAAUAAACUUCUCUUAAGCAGCUGCCUGGUCUGCAAAUUGUUGACUCUGGUCCUUUGAGUAGUGAGUCACCAACCACCAACACAGACCUUUGUUGUUGAUUUUGAAUGGCAUCCAAUUUUGGAAUGC